CCUACGGGAGGCAGCAGUGGGGAAUAUUGCACAAUGGGGGAAACCCUGAUGCAGCGACGCCGCGUGAGUGAAGAAGUAUUUCGGUAUGUAAAGCUCUGUCAGCAGGGAAGAAAAUGACGGUACCUGACCAAGAAGCCCCGGCUAACUACGUGCCAGCAGCCGCGGUAAUACGUAGGGGGCAAGCGUUAUCCGGAUUUACUGGGUGUAAAGGGAGCGUAGACGGCAGGGCAAGUCUGGAGUGAAAGCCCGGGGCCCAACCCCGGGACUGCUCUUGGAACUGCGUGGCUGGAGUGCAGGCGGGGCAG
Molecule: ribosomal RNA, 305 nt
Filed under: uncultured bacterium
Lineage: Bacteria
Description: bacterial SSU rRNA
Rfam family: Bacterial small subunit ribosomal RNA
Source: RNAcentral